This 217-nucleotide ribosomal RNA is filed under the name Actinomycetales bacterium. RNAcentral describes it as "partial 16S ribosomal RNA". It matches the Rfam family "Bacterial small subunit ribosomal RNA", at positions 1 to 219 of the family's 1533-position model. The record is from RNAcentral. Lineage: Bacteria; Bacillati; Actinomycetota; Actinomycetes; Actinomycetales.
UCAACGGAGAGUUUGAUCCUGGCUCAGGACGAAUGCUGGCUGCGUGCUUAACACAUGCAAGUCGAACGGUGAAGGAGGGCUUGCCCUCCCGAUCAGUGGCGAACGGGUGAGUAACACGUGGGCAACCUGCCCCUCACUCUGGGAUAACACCGGGAAACCGGUGCUAAUACCGGAUACGACCAGGCGCGACAUCGCGCCCGGUGGAAAGAACUUCGGU